This 468-nucleotide ribosomal RNA is filed under the name uncultured bacterium. RNAcentral's name for it is "partial 16S ribosomal RNA". It matches the Rfam family "Bacterial small subunit ribosomal RNA", at positions 28 to 507 of the family's 1533-position model. The record is from RNAcentral.
GACGAACGCUGGCGGCGUGCUUAACACAUGCAAGUCGAACGGAAAGGCCCUGCUUUUGUGGGGUGCUCGAGUGGCGAACGGGUGAGUAACACGUGAGUAACCUGCCCUUGACUUUGGGAUAACUUCAGGAAACUGGGGCUAAUACCGGAUAGGAGCUCCUGCUGCAUGGUGGGGGUUGGAAAGUUUCGGCGGUUGGGGAUGGACUCGCGGCUUAUCAGCUUGUUGGUGGGGUAGUGGCUUACCAAGGCUUUGACGGGUAGCCGGCCUGAGAGGGUGACCGGCCACAUUGGGACUGAGACACGGCCCAGACUCCUACGGGAGGCAGCAGUGGGGAAUAUUGCACAAUGGGCGGAAGCCUGAUGCAGCAACGCCGCGUGCGGGAUGACGGCCUUCGGGUUGUAAACCGCUUUCGCCUGUGACGAAGCGUGAGUGACGGUAAUGGGUAAAGAAGCGCCGGCUAACUACGUG